Molecule: long non-coding RNA, 1201 nt
Filed under: Chrysemys picta bellii (western painted turtle)
Lineage: Eukaryota; Metazoa; Chordata; Testudines; Emydidae
Description: lncRNA (ENSCPBG00000003805.1)
Source: RNAcentral
GUCUGCUGGAAACCCUGGAAGAUCUGAGGCAGAAGGGGUCUGGGAGUUCAAGUUCACACUGAAUACAAUCAAGGUAGAAGGUGAUUAUAACUCAGCUUUCUGGGACAUAUUGGAAACAGCAAAGCCUGUGGAUGUCAUCAAUGGGAUGAUCAACUACUAUAGGAAAGACUAUGAUCAGAAGAUAGUCAUGGAGGUGCUGAGAGCCAUCAACCUGUGGGAUCUGUCGGAGAGACACAUCGAUGCAGCAAAGGCUGGCUGCUCAGAGAGCUGAGGAAGGAGAUGCCAUGGAGAAAGCAGUGAGCGAUUGCUUACAUGACAUUCUUGAAGAGCUGACAAAGAAUGAGCUCAAGAAAUUCAAGUUGAAACUGAACAAAUUUAAGCUGAAGAGGGAUAAUGUCAAUAUCCCCAUGGGUAAAUUAGAGGAUGCAUCACCUGUGGACAUGACUCAAUCCCUGCUCAGCUACUAUGGAGAGGACUAUGGGGCGGAAGUGACAGUGAAUGUGCUGAAAUCUAUAAACAGGAGAGAUCUGGCUCAGAAACUCUCUGAGACACUGAGACCUGAUGGUUUAACUCCAGUCCCAGAACCUCAGCAAUCCCCAAAGCCAGGGGACAAAGACCGUCCCAAAGGAAGAGAGAAUGAGAACCCAGAGAGGGCAACAGCCACGGCCUCAGAGACUCCUGAAUGGGAAGUAAAAGAUGAAGCCACAUGUCCAAUUUGUUUGGAUUAUUUGGCGACCCAGUGACUAUAGACUGUGGGCACAGCAGCUGCAAAAUCUGCAUCACUACAUACUGUGAGAAAUCGGAAGAGGGAAAUCAUGGCUGUCCCAUCUGCAGAUCAAAGAUGGAGAAAGUGAAUUUCAGGCCUAACUGGCAGCUGGCCAGUCUAGUAGAAAAAGUUAAAUGUAGAUUGAAACCAGGAAAAGAGGAAAAGGAGAAUCUGUGUGAGAGACACAAGGAAAAACUCAGCCUGUUCUGUGAAGAGGAUGGGGAAUUCAUAUGUGUGGAAUGUGACAAAUCCGCACUGCACAAAGCGCACACAGUGGUCCUCAUUAAAGAGGCUGUCCAGAAGUAUAAGGUAAGAACCACUUUGAUGUUGAUUAAUUAAAUCCUUUUCUUUUCAGACUAAUAUGAACUUUCCUCUCAGGGGAGUUGACAUUUCUGAGGCUCUUUCAGAACAGCAGAAUCUCUCCUUUUCCCAGAU